GUCGCGAAGGCGUAGCGACUGUCA
This 24-nucleotide microRNA is filed under the name Monodelphis domestica (gray short-tailed opossum). RNAcentral describes it as "mdo-miR-7345-5p". The record is from miRBase by way of RNAcentral. Lineage: Eukaryota; Metazoa; Chordata; Mammalia; Didelphimorphia; Didelphidae.